Schistocerca gregaria is the source of this 6931-nucleotide RNA transcript. It is a transcript of the gene named EARP-interacting protein homolog, with no coding region annotated. The transcript is spliced from 9 exons. The record is from RefSeq and is a predicted model, not a curated record. Lineage: Eukaryota; Metazoa; Arthropoda; Insecta; Orthoptera; Acrididae.
CACAAAUUUUUUGUAUUGCAUUAAAAUUCGAACGGCCUGUCGUGCCAACUAGACGGACUCACUCGAACCCGAUUCUAGACAUGAGGAAAUAGUGCAGAGCCGAAACACUCUCGAUAUAAUACCAGUGCCGUAAAUUAUUUUUAUAUUGGUAUCUAGCAAUUUAACGUCCACAUACAAGAUUCGUCUUCCAAUCAAAAGGACAUGAAUACCCAGAAAGACUACGGCUCGCAAAAGCAUGGGACUUCGGCUGUGCCGCCUGCAGAAGUCCCAAAUGCAGCUCAAGAUAGCAAGAAUUUUAUGAACUUAAUUACGUCGAUCAGAAAACGACUGGACCACAUUCCUUCAAAAUACAAGCAAAACCCGGAAACAUUCAACUCACUGGAACAGGUCAUCAACAUCAUGAAGUCGGACAACUUCGAGCAACUAAAGAAUGAAUUGGAGUACAAUCUGCACAUAUCAGAUAAGUCAGCAAAAUCCAUUGUAAAGGCUCAAUAUCAUGGGUUCAACAAGUCCAUUAAAAACUACACGCUGGCAUCGAAUGCCAUCAACGAAACUAUCGACGCUGCCGUCAAGCUCCAUGCCGACGUUGAAAAGUGCGCUGGGCUUUUCACCAGUCGUAGUCACAGCAUCAAUACGAUCUACCUCCAGCUGAUCGAACACGUAUACGCAAUAGAAAUUUUGGACAACGUAACUUCAAUAAAUAAUGUACCAGAACGCUUUGAAGAGGCGUUCAAUUCUAAGGAGUACGUCAAGGCGGCUAGCAUUUUGGUCGAUGCCGUCGACAAGCUUUACCAAGAAGACCUCCUAAAGAUCGGCGCGCUGGCAGACCUCCAGACAGAAAUUGUUGAAAAGAAGGGUACUUUUUACAGGACUUUGAUUAAAAUGUUGAACGAUUUGAUUUAUCUGAAUUCAAUAGACGAGUUCCCAGACAUGGUAGAGCAAAAGGAUGUCGAGUCCUCGCUCGCUUUGGACUUUAGCUAUGCAGGCACGAUGGGUUCUGCCUAUUCCAAAAGUCGAAAAUCAGACCAAGAUGACAUUCAUAUUAAAUUGAACGAGAUUAUAUCAGCCAUUUUCGUAUUGAAAAAGGAAAAGCAGAGCAUAACCAGAAUUUUGGAAAGGUCGAAAGCUGAGCUGCAUAAUGCAGUAAGGAAGGCGAUUAUUUGGAUUAAGAAAAAGCACGAGGCUAGUACGGACUAUUCGCCCCAGGGGACGACCGAUUCCACCCGUUCGAAAGGCUUUUCCAAGGCAAAUCUGGAAUCAGGUAGUUUGUGUAGAGAGGUAAUCAAAGGCGUUCUUGAACUGUUUCUGAAAAUAUUGAAAAAUCACAAGAUAGUGGCAGAAAUUUUUAAAAACAAGUUACAGAACUCAGACGAAGAUGAGCCGGUCAGGUUAUCUGGCGAAUUCCAAAUGAAUGGAGAAAGGCCGGGUGCUUCAACGAGUGCGCAAGCGGACCAAAAGUUUUUCUCGUACCAGUUAGAACACGUGUGGAACUUGUUUCAAAUGGAGUUGCAGUGCUUAGUUGGGUACUAUGUUCCCGGACUGAAGAACGCAUGGAAUGCGGAUGAGAACGAAAUUGUAUACAAGAGUCAAUCGGAAAAUCAGCGUUUGUUUUCAUUUAGCAACUCGGUGGCGUUCUCUUUUUUUGGGAUUCGAGAUCCGCAAAUAUUUCACUACGACCAGAUGGACAUUGGAGAGCCCAGCAUCUAUAACAUUUUGCCGAUGUAUCCAUUGCUAGUAUCUUUCAUCGAAUCCGUGCAGCUAGUGGUCGGCAUCAAGGCGUCGGAGUAUCUGCGGUCGUGGCUUGACAACUGCAUCACAACGGUUUUGACAGAAAACAUACACAACGACUACAAAAAGAGGGCAGAGAUGACUUGCAACGAGCCGGAUUCGUUCAAGUUGAAAUACAGAAGUUUGAUGCUGAGCUAUUCGUCCGACGAGUUGAAGCGUCCCUUACUGAGCGUAGUGGUCGAAAUGUUUCGGUGCAUCUCGGAGUUAUACGACGGACUCUUUUACAUGUUUCAAUACGCCUCCCACUUUCAAAGCAUCAUACAGACAUGCCUGCAGACCCUAAAGGAGGCCAGCAAAAACAAGAUCAAGAGCAUCAUCCAUGGUACUGAGGUGGAAAGAGCACUCGAGUCCAAGGAAUUACAGGCCGUGUUGGAGAACGAUUUAUCAUGGAAGAUGACGAGCUGUCAAGAGAAGAGCGCAUCGACUCCGCCGGGCUUUCAGGUACAACAAGAUAGCUACGCGCGCAAAACGGAGAAAAGCGAUUCUCGUCUUGGUCUAGAAGACGGUCUGGACCAGCUGUCGGCUGCGGAACAAGGGGCAAAGUACGAAGAAGCACUGACAUGUUUGGAAUACGCGUGGUAUGACGGGGUGACCAAGACAGGCACGCCACUUCGGAAAGAGCACAUAAUCACGGAUCACGCGAGCUUGGCCAUGCUGGCUGCCAUGAGCGACUCGUUAUCCUGGAUUUCGGCCAAAGUACACAAUUUGAACAGUGAGGUGUAUCUGAGCAUCAGGGAGAGGUCUCUGUCUACAAUUGAAGAAAAAGGCGUUAAGAUGGAAGACUUCGAAAAGUCUCAUCUCUCCUCAACCACCGAUGAUGCAUCUGUCACCGACAGUCUGGGAUCAAACGAUUGGAAGCCCAUACGCGGAGUAGACGAUGAUUGCGUCUUGACUGAUGCGGUCAUUCAAAGGACGUCUGGUGUCAACUCGAGUCUAAUCAAAGUCUCGGAGCAAUGUUUACAAGCCAUUUACCUCAAUCUACGCAUACAGACAUGCUAUUUUCUAUAUUCCAUGAGCAGCAACUACGUUCUUCCAUACGAAGAUGUGUCGCCGGUUCCAGAAGUCAUCGAGCUAAAUAGCAACCUGACGGCUACUUUUAACGCCGUCUUUCCAUUUCUCUCCUCGGCCAACUUCAAAUACGUUUUCGGUGCUCUCCCAAAACUGAUUUCCGAUCUUUUGAUCAGCUUCUUGAAAUCGAAAAUCGAAGGUAUCAACAAGAAUGGUGCGGUCAAAAUGAUCAGGAACAUCCUAGAGCUUCAAAACUUCACGAGUAUCAUAGGCAUUUGCGACGAAUCUCUUGACAGAGCGAAGAAGUACUACGAGCUGCUCAACUUGAGCCCAUCUGAACUAUAUCAGUACAUUGAGAACCACAUACACGACCAUACCUCUUUCAAUUUGAAUCAAUACAGGACAAUACUGGAAAAUAUUUACAACAUGCAGAAUAGAGGCCAUCGCGCUCUGACUAACGAGCAGGAAAAAACUCUAAGGGAAAAAUGUGCGCCGCUGUUUGACUCAAACGUUUCUAUGACUUGAUAGCGAAUGUUUUGCGCAUAUGACAAACGUCGCACUUUUUCCACGUGGGGCAGCCAAAUUCGUCGACUGCGCCAUCCGACAGACAAUGCCAGAGGCACUCAGAAGGUGUGGGCGUCGCCCGAUAGCAGCGUGCAUCUCAAUUUGUUCAUAAAAGGUCGACUGAACGUACAAAUUUGUUCACCGGGGCCAAAACUUUCGAGAGGCUAAUUGUGUGUGUAGCAAAAACGGGUCUUUGGCACGCGUUCAUGUUACAGUCUGGAACUCUUCGUGGGAACGCGUGCAGAGCGUCCGCGUAUUAAACGCUCGCCUUUUCUGUAGGAUUGCUCUGGCCGAAGCUCUAUGGCGCUUGACAGACGGAGAGUUUAAGAAGGCCUUGAGCAGAAAUUUGUGUUAUCGCUUGUCAAAGGUGCCGGUGUACGCGCUUGUAACGGAUUUGUGCCGUCCAAUUUACGGGGUUUUGCGUUCAUCUCGCCUCUCUUUCUCUGAGGUGCAAUCAUUUUACAGCGAAGGACUGGUCUGGUCCGGUCGUCUGUAUCUGCGCAGAACUUUUGCGAGAAGUUUCAACUAUAGGAUCAAAAAAAAAGGUCACUUGACCUGUUAAAAAUUUAGUUUCGCAUCAUGAACGGGGAAAAGGUAACGUUUCCCAAUCUCAGCAAUGCGGAAAUCGUAGAUUGCCUUAGAGAUUUGGGCGUGCAGCAGCUCACCGAGUCCAAUUUGGUGAAGCCCGAGCCAGACUUUGUUCACAUUCUCUAUGAAAACGUAGUACAAAAGUUGAUAGGUUGUACUGGAGAAGACAUGGUCAAAUAUGCGUACGAAGCAUACAGCAGCCUUGAGUAUCCCCAAAUAUACGAAAACGCUAUUUAUGAGAUAAACUUCAUGAGGAAUUUGUACGUCGAGCGUGCAGCUGAAAGAGAAAACGGCUAUAUCAUGCGGCUGCCGAGGUUCGUUCUUAUAGCUAACGCCGGACCAGGUUCCGAGUCAUGCACACUGUCGGCGUGGAUUUUAAAUUAAGUGACUUGUUGGCUCCAACAUACGCACGAACUCGCAAUUUUCUAAAUGGCAUCAUCAACUUUGCAAAGUAUCGUGAAGAAAAAUUCCUAAAGUUUCAAGAACUUGACCGCGAAUCCUUUCUGCUGACCGACGAUUUUUUGCUUGCUGAAGAACGCAACUUGGAAGUUCAGGAGCAGCUUCGUGCGCUGAAAACCGAGAUUGCUGGCGAGGAAUCGGUAGCUCAAGAACUGCACAAGAAGAAGACGGACACGCAGAACAAGCUUUAUGCCUUCAACCAGCUGCAAUCUAGUCUCCGGGAGGAGAUAUCCCAACUCAAAAAGAGCACCGAAGAAAUCAGCAUUAAAGCUGAUAGUCUCAUUGCCAAGCGGACUGAACUAGAACGGGAGAAAGCACACAUCCAAUCACGGAUCUUGAAGAACCCAGAGAGCGUUAUCAAGGGUAUUGAGGAGAUUCGCGGUCACUUGGAAAAGGAGCGCAAGGCGUUAGCAGAGAGCGAAUCUAGAAGAAACGAGUAUGCCACACAGUUGUUUUCGGUUGAAAAAAAUCGCAAGGCUCUUGAAAAAUGUACCAGUUUAGUUGUAGAAAUCAAUCAAGAGUUAAGUCGCGUCGAGAGUGAAAAGAAGGAGAUCAAAGGCUACAAAGACAACAUCAAGAGUCAAGAGAAUGUUUUUCGUGAAUUAGAUGUCAACCAAGAAAAGGUUACUAGGCAACUGUCAAUGACUCAGAAGAAAGUUUUAGACCUUCAAUUGGAACAAGACUCUUCGAAAGAGAGCCGGAAGAGCGAAAUCGAUGCUGAAAGGUCGAAAAAGAUUGACGCAGAAAAAGAACGCGCCAGUUUAAUAGAAAAGCUCAAAAAACUAGACUUGGAAAUUGCAGAACUCACAGCUGAAGAAGAGAAUAUGACGAGGAUUCAUCAAGAAGAAAUGAACACCCUAAAUUCAGGAAUGUGUAACUUGAUGAAACAGUUUCAAGCAUAUCAUGCUCAGCUAAGCGAAUGUAUGAAGAAGAUAGAAGAUAACCAGCUACAAUAUGCUUCACAAAGACAGCAACAAAAUACUUCAUUUACUAUACAUCCCUAAAAAAAAAAUUUUAUGUGAGCCAUUUUUUCUUGAAUUGUUUUUACGUGACCAUCGCGAUCUGUGAUCAGUUCUACAUGCUUUCUGUAGAUACCUCUAACGCGCUUGUGCAUGGCGUUAACUAUAAGACUCGUGCAUUCGACGCACAAAAAGUUUCAAAAAACUGUUUUCUCGUCGGCACUCAAGCCCUCAAUCAAAAGAAUGAAGUUCACCUUGUAGAAGUGAACGAGGAACUUGACAACUUUUCCAGAAUUCAAAUAUAUGCACACCCUCAUGAGAUUUGGUCACUUUCUUGUUGUCCGACUGACUCAAAAAAAUUUUUUACUGUUUACAACACGGGUACGAAAAUGACAGAACCCAAAGUCUAGCUGGGGAGACCUCACACCUUAGCUGCCUCCCCCAGUUCCAGAUUUCAAAUGUUCUCUGUGGAGAACUUCUCCCAAAAACAAAUUGAGAGAGAUCGGCCAACUUUCGCGCCCAGAAUCCAAACAAAUAAAACGCGUUUUAUGGCAGCCGAGCGACCUAGACAAGGUCUGCACCAUUGACGUUGAAUCUGUUCACCUGUGGGAUGCGCAGACGCUCGAACACAUCCAAGGAACAGCCGGCAACGCUCUCGGCCAAUUUGAAGCGGGCUGCUGGACUUCCCGACUAGGAGACCAGGUGCUCGUGACCAAUAGGACAGAAAUACAGCUGUUUGAUUUUAAAAGCAAUAAGACAUCCGUUUGCAUAGAGCAUGCGCACGAAAUUUUCACAAGAGAUAUCGACGUCAAUCUAGAUAACUCUCACUACCUGAUGAGCGGAGGGGAUGACGGGAGGGUCAAAUAUUGGGAUUUAAGGAAUGUCAAAGAGCCCGUCAUGACAUACGAAAACCAUGAACAUUGGGUCACACAGGUAAGGUUCAACCCGUUUAGACCUUUUUUGGCUUUGUCUGCGGACAGCUGUGGUAUCGUUGCGCUGCACGAUUUUGGCAGUCAAUCCGAACAGAGUGGCCACGACUGUGAUAUGGUGGGAAAGUUGCGAAAUUGCCGUGUCAAACAGUACAACGACCAUGGCACCACCGUGACCGCCAUUUGUUGGGGAUCGGUCGAUAUGAACCCGUUGGUAUUUGCAUCGCUGAGCUAUGAUGGGAGGUUGGUGAUCAACCAAGCUAAAUUUGCAUAACUGUGUAGUAAAAGAGCUGUUGAUUUUAUUUUCCUUGACAGCAGAACUGAUUGUAGACACAUCACAUUCGGUCUACACGGUCGCGCCCGGUUUUUUCCCAGCCGGCGAAAGAAAUUUGACCCAUUGCAUUUCUCCCACGACUAUGACGCGAUGCCGAUACGACUCUCUUUGGUUUUUGUUAACCUUGAAUUCAGUAGUUGCCUUGCGCUGAGACGAGAGCUUGUCUUUGGUUGGUCGGCCGAGGAGUUUAGUUUGUUGGCGCGUUCUUUUCGGUUGGCCUCAAUCUGCUUCAUAUCCUCUGCAUCGCAUGUGAGUUCGAUGCGCGUGAUUUUCCUCCUGAGCAUAGCGCAGGCGUUAGGGAG